This 107-nucleotide non-coding RNA is filed under the name uncultured Acetatifactor sp. RNAcentral describes it as "Glycine riboswitch". It matches the Rfam family "Glycine riboswitch aptamer", at positions 7 to 88 of the family's 94-position model. From Rfam's summary of the family: This family represents the bacterial glycine riboswitch. Glycine riboswitches usually consist of two metabolite-binding aptamers domains with similar structures in tandem. The record is from RNAcentral. Lineage: Bacteria; Bacillati; Bacillota; Clostridia; Lachnospirales; Lachnospiraceae.
UUACUCUGGAGAGUCCUUCCACGGGAAACGUUUGCUGAUUCUCGUAUAGAAGGCGCCGAAGGUGUACGGCAGAUUACUGCUAAUCUCUCAGGCAAAAGGACAGAGCA